This is a long non-coding RNA of Pseudophryne corroboree (corroboree frog), 843 nucleotides long. RefSeq lists it as uncharacterized. The transcript has 3 exons. NCBI's taxonomy places the organism in Eukaryota, Metazoa, Chordata, Amphibia, Anura, Myobatrachidae. The record is from RefSeq and is a predicted model, not a curated record.
CCCGUCUCGCACAGGAACAGUCCUGGGGAGGCUCCUUCCCUGCCUAUACAGCUGCUGCCCCCUCCCCCCACCCGGGGUGUAGGAUCGGGGAUCUAUAGCUCUAUGGAUGUGUGUAUAUAUGUAUAGUACAGCUGUGGUGUGAGCUUAUUGCAGGGAGCACAGAAAUCGGGGCACAGGGAGUGACAUACUGUAUCUGCCCCAUGCACUGUGUGACAGGAGAAACCGGUAUCUACUUCUCCCGUGAACAGAGCGUAGACGUGCACUGGGAGGACUAUCAACAUGCACUGGGGAAUCAGCUAUCCAGGCUGCUGGCGGCUGCUUAUUAACUGAAGAAUUCCACUAUGUGUUCAAGUGCAGAAUAAUUCUAUUCCAAGGUAGUAUAAAUGCAUCAUAUCAGGAUCGUAACCCAGGCUGCAAGCCAAGGGGACGGUACAGUGGCUGCAUGGAGAGGCACCAGUUUCCUGCUUCUGGCCUCCCCCUCUGCGACACUAUCAUGUCACAUAUGCUGAGAGAGUCGAAGGCCGACCCAGGACGCUGAAGUUCCCUACUCCGGUGCUGAAUUGUAUGUCUCUAUAGACCAGACUUUUGGAAGUCAUAAGGGGUGUGGCCUCCCUGGAAAAAGCUGCGAUAGGCAGAUUGGAGACCUGUUAUAGUUAGUCCAGAUCAGGACUGUUGUGAAGGAUGAUGCAUCUUCCCACCGACAAUAAAUCCGCACUAUGGACCUGUGCUUGUUGAUCAUUUCUUUGCGAAGCCAUGAAGUAUCCAUUCCAAUGUCCCUUCAUCAAAUUUUCCAGGAACUGACUCCAAAUGACAAAACCCAAUAAACUCAAAGCAUUUCCACAA